This 385-nucleotide ribosomal RNA is filed under the name Telonemia sp. Its description in RNAcentral is "partial small subunit ribosomal RNA". It matches the Rfam family "Eukaryotic small subunit ribosomal RNA", at positions 582 to 975 of the family's 1831-position model. Lineage: Eukaryota; Telonemia. The record is from RNAcentral.
AUUCCAGCUCCAAUAGCGUAUAUUAAAGUUGUUGCAGUUAAAAAGCUCGUAGUUGGAUCUCAGGGUGAGCUCAGUUGGUCGGCCUAAUUGGUCAGAACUGGCUGACUCUCCCUUGUUUCUGAAUCCCGGUCGGAGUUAAUUCUUCGUUCGUGGACUUCAGAUCGUUUACCUUGAAAAAAUUAGAGUGUUCAAAGCGGGCGUUUGCUUGAAUACAUUAGCAUGGAAUAAUGGAAUAGGACCCUGGUUCUAUUUUGUUGGUUUUGAGAUCAGAGUAAUGAUUAAUAGGGAUAGUUGGGGGCAUUCAUAUUUAAUUGUCAGAGGUGAAAUUCUUGGAUUUAUGAAAGAUGAACUUCUGCGAAAGCAUUUGCCAAGGAUGUUUUCAUCA